This 305-nucleotide ribosomal RNA is filed under the name uncultured bacterium. Its description in RNAcentral is "bacterial SSU rRNA". It matches the Rfam family "Bacterial small subunit ribosomal RNA", at positions 333 to 635 of the family's 1533-position model. The record is from RNAcentral.
UGUCACCUACGGGGCGCAGCAGUGAGGAAUAUUGGUCAAUGGGCUUACGCCUGAACCAGCCAAGUCGCGUGAGGGAAGACUGCCCUAUGGGUUGUAAACCUCUUUUGUCAGGGAGCAACGCCGGCUACGUGUAGCCGGACUGAGAGUACCUGAAGAAAAAGCAUCGUCUAACUCCGUGCCAGCAGCCGCGGUAAUACGGAGGAUGCGAGCGUUAUCCGGAUUUAUUGGGUUUAAAGGGUGCGCAGGCGGUUUGUUAAGUCAGCGGUCAAAGCCAGGGGCUCAACCCCGGCCCGCCGUUGAAACUG